RNAcentral lists this ribosomal RNA (187 nucleotides) under uncultured Flavobacterium sp. RNAcentral describes it as "partial 16S ribosomal RNA". It matches the Rfam family "Bacterial small subunit ribosomal RNA", at positions 340 to 524 of the family's 1533-position model. The record is from RNAcentral. Lineage: Bacteria; Pseudomonadati; Bacteroidota; Flavobacteriia; Flavobacteriales; Flavobacteriaceae.
UACGGGAGGCAGCAGUGAGGAAUAUUGGACAAUGGGCGCAAGCCUGAUCCAGCCAUGCCGCGUGCAGGAAGACUGCCCUAUGGGUUGUAAACUGCUUUUAUACAGGAAGAAACCGCUCUACGUGUAGAGCUCUGACGGUACUGUAAGAAUAAGGAUCGGCUAACUUCGUGCCAGCGACCGCGGUAAU